UAGGCGGUGGAAAAUGAACCAAAUGGGAUUCCUUGAGUAAUUGCGAAUGAACAAGGAAAUGCUCACCUUGGAAAACUGGGUACCUUGUCCCCUGAAUUGUAUUUUUGAAAUGUAUUACCAAUGGAUGUGCAGGUGCAAGCCUAUUGAAAGAAAGUGCCAUUGUGGGUGACAUUCCUUUUGCCAACUGUAAUCUUCCAUGCACGGUGUACAUUUAAUGAGUCACAUUCCUUGGCAUUGGAAUGCAAAUGUGGUGGUAAAUUCCAUGUAAAGGAAAAUAUGUCAUUGAGACUGAUAGCAAACAAGUACCAUGAGGGAGAUAUGAAAAGGACUUUGAAAAGAGAAUUAAAAGAGCCUGAAAUUGUUGAGCAGAAAGCAAACAGACAUGUGCACAAUGGUAAGACUGCUGCAUUCCUUCCUGCAGAUUGUGUGUGGAAGUGUGUGCAAUGGUUCUUGCGUUGAACACCAGCUUUGCUACUUGAAAUCAUUAUUCAUGUGUAUGAAUGAAAAUUUGUUUUCGGGCAAUGCAACGCAUGCAUAUGAUAUGAUGUUGGGUUGCUUUGUGGCACAUGGCCUGGCUUGGUGCACUUGGAUUAGGAAGGGUGCCCUUCCUGUGUGUCGCUCAUGACUUUGUGUUUUGUUGCUGGAAAUUGGUUCUGCUUG
RNAcentral lists this ribosomal RNA (660 nucleotides) under Alexandrium leei. Its description in RNAcentral is "LSU rRNA". It matches the Rfam family "Eukaryotic large subunit ribosomal RNA", at positions 47 to 646 of the family's 3401-position model. The record is from RNAcentral. Lineage: Eukaryota; Dinophyceae; Gonyaulacales; Pyrocystaceae.